GACGAACGCUGGCGGCGUGCUUAACACAUGCAAGUCGAACGGAAAGGCCCUGCUUUUGUGGGGUGCUCGAGUGGCGAACGGGUGAGUAACACGUGAGUAACCUGCCCUUGACUUUGGGAUAACUUCAGGAAACUGGGGCUAAUACCGGAUAGGAGCUCCUGCUGCAUGGUGGGGGUUGGAAAGUUUCGGCGGUUGGGGAUGGACUCGCGGCUUAUCAGCUUGUUGGUGGGGUAGUGGCUUACCAAGGCUUUGACGGGUAGCCGGCCUGAGAGGGUGACCGGCCACAUUGGGACUGAGAUACGGCCCAGACUCCUACGGGAGGCAGCAGUGGGGAAUAUUGCACAAUGGGCGGAAGCCUGAUGCAGCGACGCCGCGUGCGGGAUGACGGCCUUCGGGUUGUAAACCGCUUUCGGCUGGGACGAAGCGUAAGUGACGGUACCUGGAGAAGAAGCACCGGCUAACUACGUG
RNAcentral lists this ribosomal RNA (468 nucleotides) under uncultured bacterium. Its description in RNAcentral is "partial 16S ribosomal RNA". It matches the Rfam family "Bacterial small subunit ribosomal RNA", at positions 28 to 507 of the family's 1533-position model. The record is from RNAcentral.